This 480-nucleotide ribosomal RNA is filed under the name Vibrio harveyi. Its description in RNAcentral is "bacterial SSU rRNA". It matches the Rfam family "Bacterial small subunit ribosomal RNA", at positions 288 to 760 of the family's 1533-position model. Lineage: Bacteria; Pseudomonadati; Pseudomonadota; Gammaproteobacteria; Vibrionales; Vibrionaceae. The record is from RNAcentral. RNAcentral also lists the same sequence under 2 other names.
UGGUCUGAGAGGAUGAUCAGCCACACUGGAACUGAGACACGGUCCAGACUCCUACGGGAGGCAGCAGUGGGGAAUAUUGCACAAUGGGCGCAAGCCUGAUGCAGCCAUGCCGCGUGUGUGAAGAAGGCCUUCGGGUUGUAAAGCACUUUCAGUCGUGAGGAAGGUAGUGUAGUUAAUAGCUGCAUUAUUUGACGUUAGCGACAGAAGAAGCACCGGCUAACUCCGUGCCAGCAGCCGCGGUAAUACGGAGGGUGCGAGCGUUAAUCGGAAUUACUGGGCGUAAAGCGCAUGCAGGUGGUUUGUUAAGUCAGAUGUGAAAGCCCGGGGCUCAACCUCGGAAUAGCAUUUGAAACUGGCAGACUAGAGUACUGUAGAGGGGGGUAGAAUUUCAGGUGUAGCGGUGAAAUGCGUAGAGAUCUGAAGGAAUACCGGUGGCGAAGGCGGCCCCCUGGACAGAUACUGACACUCAGAUGCGAAAGC